Molecule: ribosomal RNA, 1166 nt
Filed under: Bacillus aerius
Lineage: Bacteria; Bacillati; Bacillota; Bacilli; Caryophanales; Bacillaceae
Description: bacterial SSU rRNA
Rfam family: Bacterial small subunit ribosomal RNA
Source: RNAcentral
UANACAUGCAAGUCGAGCGGACAGAAGGGAGCUUGCUCCCGGAUGUUAGCGGCGGACGGGUGAGUAACACGUGGGUAACCUGCCUGUAAGACUGGGAUAACUCCGGGAAACCGGAGCUAAUACCGGAUAGUUCCUUGAACCGCAUGGUUCAAGGAUGAAAGACGGUUUCGGCUGUCACUUACAGAUGGACCCGCGGCGCAUUAGCUAGUUGGUGAGGUAACGGCUCACCAAGGCGACGAUGCGUAGCCGACCUGAGAGGGUGAUCGGCCACACUGGGACUGAGACACGGCCCAGACUCCUACGGGAGGCAGCAGUAGGGAAUCUUCCGCAAUGGACGAAAGUCUGACGGAGCAACGCCGCGUGAGUGAUGAAGGUUUUCGGAUCGUAAAGCUCUGUUGUUAGGGAAGAACAAGUGCAAGAGUAACUGCUUGCACCUUGACGGUACCUAACCAGAAAGCCACGGCUAACUACGUGCCAGCAGCCGCGGUAAUACGUAGGUGGCAAGCGUUGUCCGGAAUUAUUGGGCGUAAAGGGCUCGCAGGCGGUUUCUUAAGUCUGAUGUGAAAGCCCCCGGCUCAACCGGGGAGGGUCAUUGGAAACUGGGAAACUUGAGUGCAGAAGAGGAGAGUGGAAUUCCACGUGUAGCGGUGAAAUGCGUAAAGAUGUGGAGGAACACCAGUGGCGAAGGCGACUCUCUGGUCUGUAACUGACGCUGAGGAGCGAAAGCGUGGGGAGCGAACAGGAUUAGAUACCCUGGUAGUCCACGCCGUAAACGAUGAGUGCUAAGUGUUAGGGGGNUNCCGCCCCUUAGUGCUGCAGCUAACGCAUUAAGCACUCCGCCUGGGGGAGUACGGUCGCAAGACUGAAACUCAAAGGAAUUGACGGGGGCCCGCACAAGCGGUGGAAGCAUGUUGUUUUAAUUCGAAGCAACGCGAAGAACCUUACCAGGUCUUGACAUCCUCUGACAACCCUAGAAGAUAGGGCUUUUCCCUUCGGGGAACAAAGUGACAGGGGGGGGCAUGGUUUGCCCCCNAGCUCCGGGCCUGGAAGANUUUGGGUUAAGUCCCCGCAACGAACGCCAACCCUUGGAUCUUAGUUGGCCAGCAUUUCAGUUGGGNNNNUCUUAAGGGGGACUGGCCGGUGACCAANCCGGAAGGAAGGGGGGG